AUACUUNNCUGGCAUGGGGACACCGUGAUCAGAAAGGUGGUUUUCCUAGAGAGAGGCUCACCCUUUGCACUUGGGGUGUGCUGACCCCUGAGAUNUCCGCACACACAGGAAACUCAAUUGUGUAAUUUGUGGUAGUGAGGGACUGUAUUACCUCUCGCCCCUG
Molecule: small nuclear RNA, 163 nt
Filed under: Neotoma lepida (desert woodrat)
Lineage: Eukaryota; Metazoa; Chordata; Mammalia; Rodentia; Cricetidae
Description: U1 spliceosomal RNA
Rfam family: U1 spliceosomal RNA
About the family: U1 is a small nuclear RNA (snRNA) component of the spliceosome (involved in pre-mRNA splicing). Its 5' end forms complementary base pairs with the 5' splice junction, thus defining the 5' donor site of an intron.
Source: Rfam by way of RNAcentral